GACGAACGCUGGCGGCGUGCUUAACACAUGCAAGUCGAACGGAAAGGCCUGCUUUCCCUUGUGGAUUGCGGGUACUCGAGUGGCGAACGGGUGAGUAACACGUGAGUGAUCUGCCCCCAACUUGGGUAUAAGCCUGGGAAACUGGGUCUAAUUCCCGAUAGGACUGCAGGGUGGUGCCUGUGGUGGAAAACGAUUUUCUAGUGGUUGGGGAUGAGCUCGCGGCCUAUCAGCUUGUUGGUGGGGUAAUGGCCUACCAAGGCGGCGACGGGUAGCCGGCCUGAGAGGGUGGACGGCCACAUUGGGACUGAGAUACGGCCCAGACUCCUACGGGAGGCAGCAGUGGGGAAUAUUGCACAAUGGGCGGAAGCCUGAUGCAGCGACGCCGCGUGGGGGAUGACGGCCUUCGGGUUGUAAACUCCUUUCGACCGCGAGGAAGCCACCUGGUUGGAAGGGUGGUGACGGUAGUGGUAGAAGAAACACCGGCUAACUACGUG
This 494-nucleotide ribosomal RNA is filed under the name uncultured bacterium. RNAcentral's name for it is "partial 16S ribosomal RNA". It matches the Rfam family "Bacterial small subunit ribosomal RNA", at positions 28 to 507 of the family's 1533-position model. The record is from RNAcentral.